GGUUCGAUUAUGGCUCAGAUUGAACGCUGGCGGGAUGCUUUACACAUGCAAGUCGGAGCAGCAGCACGGACUUCGGUCUGGUGGCGAGUGGCGAACAGGUGAGUAAUGUAUCGGAACGUGCCUAGUAGCGGGGGGAUAACUACGCGAAAGCGUAGCUAAUACCGCUAUACGCCCUUCGGGGAAAGCGGGGGACCUUCGGGCCUCGCACUAAUGGGAAGCGGCCGAUAUCGGAUUAGCUAGUUGGUGCAGGUAACGGCUCACCAAGGCGACGAUCCGUAGCUGGUUUGAGGACGACCAGCCACACUGGGACUACAGACACGGCCCAGGAACUCUACGGGAGAGCCUUGAUGGGAAUUUUGGACAAUGGGGGAAACCCUGAUCCAGCCAUCCCGCGUGUGCGAUGAAGGCCUUCGGGUUGUAAAGCACUUUUUGGCAGGAAAGAAACGGCACGGGAUAAUACCCCGUGCAACGGCGGUACCUGCAGAAUAAGCACCGGCUAACUACGUGCCAGCAGCCGCGGUAAUACGUAGGGUGCAAGCGUUAAUCGGAAUUACUGGGCGUAAAGCGUGCGCAGGCGGUUCGGAAGAAGAUGUGAAAUCCCAGAGCUUAACUUUGGAACUGCAUUUUUAACUACCGAGCUAGAGUGUCAGAGGGAGGUGGAGAUUCCGUGUAGCAGUGAAAUGCGUAGAUAUGCGGAGGAACACCGAUGGCGAAGGCAGCCUCCUGGAAUGCUACUGACGCUCAUGCACGAAAGCGUGGGAGCAAACAGGAUUAGAUACCUGGUAGUCCACGCCCUAAACGAUGUCAACUAGCUGUUGGGGCCUUCGGGCCUUGGUAGCGCAGCUAACGCGUGAAGUUGACCGCCUGGGAAGUACAGUCGCAAGAUUAAAACUCAAAGGAAUUGACGGGGACCCGCACAAGCGGUGGAUGAUGUGGAUUAAUUCGAUGCAACGCGAAAAACCUUACCUACCCUUGACAUGUCUGGAAUCCCGAAGAGAUUUGGGAGUGCUCGCAAGAGAACCGGAACACAGGUGCUGCAUGGCUGUCGUCAGCUCGUGUCGUGAGAUGUUGGGUUAAGUCCGCAACAGGCGCAACCCUUGUCAUUAGUUGCUACGAGGGCACUCUAAUGAGACUGCCGGUGACAAACCGGAGGAAGGUGGGGAUGACGUCAAGUCCUCAUGGCCCUUAUGGGUAGGGCUUCACACGUCAUACAAUGGUCCGGGACAGAGGGUCGCCAACCCGCGAGGGUAAUCCCAGAAACCCGAUCGUGAGGUCCGGAUCGCAGUCUGCAACUCGACUGCGUGAAGUCGGAAUCGCUAGUAAUCGCGGAUCAGCAUGUCGCGGUGAAUACGUUCCCGGGUCUUGUACACACCGCCCGUCACACCAUGGGAGUGGGUUUUACCCAGAAGUAGUUAGCCUAACCGUAAGGAGGGCGAUUACCACGGUAGGAUUCAUGACUGGGGUGAAGUCGUAACAAGGUAG
This 1482-nucleotide ribosomal RNA is filed under the name uncultured Bordetella sp. Its description in RNAcentral is "partial 16S-23S ribosomal RNA intergenic spacer". It matches the Rfam family "Bacterial small subunit ribosomal RNA". The record is from RNAcentral. Lineage: Bacteria; Pseudomonadati; Pseudomonadota; Betaproteobacteria; Burkholderiales; Alcaligenaceae.